Molecule: ribosomal RNA, 432 nt
Filed under: uncultured bacterium
Lineage: Bacteria
Description: bacterial SSU rRNA
Rfam family: Bacterial small subunit ribosomal RNA
Source: RNAcentral
UCGAGAAUCUUCGGCAAUGGGCGCAAGCCUGACCGAGCGACGCCGCGUGGAGGAUGAAGGCCCUCGGGUUGUAAACUCCUGUCGAGGGGGAAGAAGGCGCAAGCUUGACUGAUCCCUGGAGGAAGCACGGGCUAAGUUCGUGCCAGCAGCCGCGGUAAGACGAACCGUGCGAACGUUAUUCGGAAUCACUGGGCUUAAAGCGCGUGUAGGCGGGACGGCACGUCGGUCGCUGAAAGCCCCCGGCUCAACCGGGGAAUGGGCGCCGAUACGACCGCCCUGGAGGGACGUAGGGGGACCUGGAACUUCCGGUGGAGCGGUGAAAUGCGUUGAGAUCGGAAGGAACGCCCGUGGCGAAAGCGAGGUCCUGGACGUCUGCUGACGCUGAGACGCGAAAGCCAGGGGAGCGAACGGGAUUAGAUACCCCCGUAGUCC